Molecule: ribosomal RNA, 509 nt
Filed under: uncultured bacterium
Lineage: Bacteria
Description: partial 16S ribosomal RNA
Rfam family: Bacterial small subunit ribosomal RNA
Source: RNAcentral
GACGAACGCUGGCGGCGUGCUUAACACAUGCAAGUCGAACGAAGAGCGAUGGAAGCUUGCUUCUAUCAAUCUUAGUGGCGCACGGGUGAGUAACGCGUAAUCAACCUGCCCUUCAGAGGGGGACAACAGUUGGAAACGACUGCUAAUACCGCAUACGAUCCAAUCUCGGCAUCGGGACUGGAUGAAAGGUGGCCUCUAUUUAUAAGCUAUCACUGAAGGAGGGGAUUGCGUCUGAUUAGCUAGUUGGAGGGGUAACGGCCCACCAAGGCGAUGAUCAGUAGCCGGUCUGAGAGGAUGAACGGCCACAUUGGGACUGAGACACGGCCCAGACUCCUACGGGAGGCAGCAGUGGGGAAUCUUCCGCAAUGGACGAAAGUCUGACGGAGCAACGCCGCGUGAGUGAUGACGGCCUUCGGGUUGUAAAGCUCUGUAAUCGGGACGAAUGGUUCUUGUGCGAAUAGUGCGAGGAUUUGACGGUACCGGAAUAGAAAGCCACGGCUAACUACGUG